Molecule: long non-coding RNA, 340 nt
Organism: Mya arenaria
Lineage: Eukaryota; Metazoa; Mollusca; Bivalvia; Myida; Myidae
Exons: 3
Source: RefSeq, a predicted model, not a curated record
CAGCGACGGGUUCUGGUGGUGUAAUAACCGGAUCCGGUACCGCGGCACCGGGCACUGGGACUGGAACGGGAACCGGCACCGGCACUGGCUCGGGAUAUGUGGGAUACAGUGGCGGUUGCGUAUAUAAGGGUCGGUAUUACGGAGCUGGUGACCAUUGGUAUGACGGCUGUGACUACAACUGUACAUGUGAAAACGGACAGACGGGCUUCUACAGGUGUGGAGAUAGGUGUCCCACGUAUAAUUUGGCGGCGGGCUGCGUAUUGAGGACGGUUGCUGAACAGUGUUGCGGUGUACCGGACUGCACGGGAGCCACGGGCACAGGGACAGGCACCAUGACCGG